CGCCUGUUUAACAAAAACAUGUCCUCUUGCUAUAUUAUGAGAGGUCUGACCUGCCCAGUGAUUUAUUUUAACGGCCGCGGUAUUCUGACCGUGCAAAGGUAGCAUAAUCAUUAGUCUUUUAAAAGGAGGCUAGAAUGAAGGGUUUGACGAAGAAUUAACUGUCUCAUUUUAUUUGAUUAUAAAAUUUAACUUUUUAGUCAAAAGGCUAAAAUCUAAUUGGUAGACGAGAAGACCCUAUAGAGCUUUAUAUAAUUUGAUAAUAACAAUAAUAUAUUAAUAUUGCUUAUAUUAAAUUAAUAUUUUGUUGGGGUGACAAAAUAUAUAAUUAACUUUUUUAUUUUUAUUACAUUGAUUUAUGUAUAAUAGAUCCAUUAUUAUUGAUUGAUAGAUUAAGUUACCUUAGGGAUAACAGCG
This 414-nucleotide ribosomal RNA is filed under the name Epophthalmia elegans (regal pond cruiser). RNAcentral describes it as "partial 16S ribosomal RNA". The stretch from base 1 to 210 matches the Rfam family "Archaeal large subunit ribosomal RNA", at positions 1889 to 2143 of the family's 2987-position model. The record is from RNAcentral. Lineage: Eukaryota; Metazoa; Arthropoda; Insecta; Odonata; Corduliidae.